UGGAAUCCUUUUGUCAGUCAGCAGGUAUACACACAAAUACUGCAUGUGGUUUAUUCAGAAUUUUGUGGUUUCUAUGCUUGGGUUUUUGAGUUUAGAUCAAGGUCUUUAAGUUUAGCCAGUGUCAACAUUCAUUCCAUGCUGUCUGCAUUGGAUUCCCUAUAUCAUCAAUCCACAUGGCAUUGAUCCUCCACCUUGCUUCUUCCAUGUUUAACUCUGGGUUGCAUGUUUGUAUAUGUGAGGUGAAAAUUUUUUUUUUUUUGGACCAAUUUCUGGUGGUUAUCGAAAAUAAGCUUCAUGGCAAAACCUUGUGUUGAGCUGAGGUCAGUUGUGAACCUUUUUUUCUUUCUUCCUUUUUUUUUUUCAAGGGGGAAGGGCCGGGGUGUUAAAGGGAGAGUACAAAUCAGAUAAUCAAUAUAC
This 417-nucleotide unclassified non-coding RNA is filed under the name Hevea brasiliensis (rubber tree). The record is from RNAcentral. Lineage: Eukaryota; Viridiplantae; Streptophyta; Magnoliopsida; Malpighiales; Euphorbiaceae.